CCUACGGGGGGCAGCAGUGGGGAAUAUUGGACAAUGGGGGCAACCCUGAUCCAGCCAUGCCGCGUGUGUGAAGAAGGCCCUCGGGUUGUAAAGCACUUUCAGUGAGGAAGAACGCCUGGUGGUUAAUACCCAUCAGGAAAGACAUCACUCACAGAAGAAGCACCGGCUAACUCCGUGCCAGCAGCCGCGGUAAUACGGAGGGUGCGAGCGUUAAUCGGAAUUACUGGGCGUAAAGCGCGCGUAGGUGGCUUGAUAAGCCGGUUGUGAAAGCCCCGGGCUCAACCUGGGAACGGCAUCCGGAACUGUCAAGCUAGAGUGCAGGAGAGGAAGGUAGAAUUCCCGGUGUAGCGGUGAAAUGCGUAGAGAUCGGGAGGAAUACCAGUGGCGAAGGCGGCCUUCUGGACUGACACUGACACUGAGGUGCGAAAGCGUGGGUAGAAAACAGGAUUAGAUAACAGAGUAGUC
This 465-nucleotide ribosomal RNA is filed under the name Vreelandella stevensii. RNAcentral describes it as "partial 16S ribosomal RNA". It matches the Rfam family "Bacterial small subunit ribosomal RNA", at positions 338 to 795 of the family's 1533-position model. The record is from RNAcentral. Lineage: Bacteria; Pseudomonadati; Pseudomonadota; Gammaproteobacteria; Oceanospirillales; Halomonadaceae.